GAAUCUUCCACAAUGGACGAAAGUCUGAUGGAGCAAUGCCGCGUGAGUGAAGAAGGUUUUCGGAUCGUAACACUCUGUUGUGAGGGAAGAACAAGUACGCGAGUAACUGCUCGUGCCUUGACGGUACCUCAUUAGAAACCCACGGCUAACUCCCUCCCCGCAGCCGCGGGAAUACGUAGGUGGCAAGCGUUGUCCGGAAUUAUUGGGCGGAAAGCGCGCGCAGGCGGUCCCUUAAGUCUGAGGUGAAAUCCCACGGCUCAACCGUGGAAGGUCAUUGGAAACUGGGGGACUUGGGUACAGAAGAGGAAAGCGGAAUUCCAAGUGUAGCGGUGAAAUGCGUAGAGAUUUGGAGGAACACCAGUGGCGAAGGCGGCUUUCUGGUCUGUAACUGACGCUGAGGCGCGAAAGCGUGGGGAGCAAACA
This 423-nucleotide ribosomal RNA is filed under the name uncultured bacterium. RNAcentral's name for it is "partial 16S ribosomal RNA". It matches the Rfam family "Bacterial small subunit ribosomal RNA", at positions 359 to 774 of the family's 1533-position model. The record is from RNAcentral.